CAGCAGCCGCGGGAAUACGUAGGGUGCGAGCGUUAAUCGGAAUUACUGGGCGUAAAGCGUGCGCAGGCGGUUCUAUAAGACAGAUGUGAAAUCCCCGGGCUCAACCUGGGAACUGCAUUUGUGACUGUAGAGCUGGAGUGCGGCAGAGGGGGAUGGAAUUCCGCGUGUAGCAGUGAAAUGCGUAGAUAUGCGGAGGAACACCGAUGGCGAAGGCAAUCCCCUGGGCCUGCACUGACGCUCAUGCACGAAAGCGUGGGGAGCAAACAGGAUUAGAUACCCGAGUAGUCCCUGUCUCUUAUAC
This 301-nucleotide ribosomal RNA is filed under the name uncultured bacterium. RNAcentral describes it as "partial 16S ribosomal RNA". It matches the Rfam family "Bacterial small subunit ribosomal RNA", at positions 509 to 807 of the family's 1533-position model. The record is from RNAcentral.